UACGAAGGGGGCUAGCGUUGCUCGGAAUCACUGGGCGUAAAGCGCACGUAGGCGGAUCUUUAAGUCAGGGGUGAAAUCCUGGAGCUCAACUCCAGAACUGCCUUUGAUACUGGGGAUCUCGAGUCCGGAAGAGGUGAGUGGAACUCCGAGUGUAGAGGUGAAAUUCGUAGAUAUUCGGAAGAACACCAGUGGCGAAGGCGGGUUGCUGGGCUGAUACUGACGCUGAGGCGCGAAAGCCAGGGGAGCGAACGGG
This 253-nucleotide ribosomal RNA is filed under the name uncultured bacterium. RNAcentral describes it as "partial 16S ribosomal RNA". It matches the Rfam family "Bacterial small subunit ribosomal RNA", at positions 524 to 776 of the family's 1533-position model. The record is from RNAcentral.